RNAcentral lists this ribosomal RNA (265 nucleotides) under uncultured bacterium. RNAcentral's name for it is "partial 16S ribosomal RNA". It matches the Rfam family "Bacterial small subunit ribosomal RNA", at positions 524 to 788 of the family's 1533-position model. The record is from RNAcentral.
UACGUAGGGUGCAAGCGUUGUCCGGAAUUAUUGGGCGUAAAGAGCUCGUAGGCGGUCUGUCGCGUCGGCUGUGAAAACCCGGAGCUCAACUCCGGGCCUGCAUUCGAUACGGGCAGGCUAGAGUUCGGUAGGGGAGACUGGAAUUCCUGGUGUAGCGGUGAAAUGCGCAGAUAUCAGGAGGAACACCGGUGGCGAAGGCGGGUCUCUGGGCCGAUACUGACGCUGAGGAGCGAAAGCGUGGGGAGCGAACAGGAUUGAAGACCCU